Molecule: ribosomal RNA, 497 nt
Filed under: uncultured bacterium
Lineage: Bacteria
Description: partial 16S ribosomal RNA
Rfam family: Bacterial small subunit ribosomal RNA
Source: RNAcentral
GAUGAACGCUGGCGGCGUGCCUAGUACAUGCAAGUCGAGCGAACAGACGAGGAGCUUGCUCCUCUGAUGUUAGCGGCGGACGGGUGAGUAACACGUGGAUAACCUACCUAUAAGACUGGGAUAACUUCGGGAAACCGGAGCUAAUACCGGAUAACAUGUUGAACCGCAUGGUUCAACAGUGAAAGACGGUCUUGCUGUCACUUAUAGAUGGAUCCGCGCCGCAUUAGCUAGUUGGUAAGGUAACGGCUUACCAAGGCAACGAUGCGUAGCCGACCUGAGAGGGUGAUCGGCCACACUGGAACUGAGACACGGUCCAGACUCCUACGGGAGGCAGCAGUAGGGAAUCUUCCGCAAUGGGCGAAAGCCUGACGGAGCAACGCCGCGUGAGUGAAGAAGGUCUUCGGAUCGUAAAACUCUGUUAUUAGGGAAGAACAAAUGUGUAAGUAACUAUGCACGUCUUGACGGUACCUAAUCAGAAAGCCACGGCUAACUACGUG